Molecule: unclassified non-coding RNA, 846 nt
Filed under: Hevea brasiliensis (rubber tree)
Lineage: Eukaryota; Viridiplantae; Streptophyta; Magnoliopsida; Malpighiales; Euphorbiaceae
Source: RNAcentral
GGAAGGUUGGCGAAAGCAUUAGCGGGUACUGUAAACAUAAAACGUAAAGCAAAAGGACUACUUCCUCGCCCAGUUCGAGCUGGUGUAGUUGGGUAUCCAAAUGUUGGUAAGUCAUCUCUGGUAAAUCGUUUGCUGAAGCGCCGGAUGUGUGCUGCAGCCCCAAGACCAGGUGUCACCAGAGAGCUGAAGUGGGUCCGUUUUGGGAAAGAUCUAGAGCUACUGGAUUCACCUGGUAUAAUUCCUAUGAGGAUCAGUGAUCAGACAGCAGCAAUAAAGCUUGCCAUAUGUGAUGAUAUUGGAGAGAGAUCUUAUGAUGCCGCAGAUGUUGCAGCUAUUCUUGUACAGAUGCUUUCAGGGCUUCCAACUGUUGGUAAUAAAGUUCUGUGUGACCGCUACAAGAUUGAGGCAGAUGGGCGCAGUGGUAAAAUGUGUGUAUGGCAAAUUAUACCCAAAGGGUGUAUCUGAAGUAUGAGUUCCCCUGCAAGGAUUUGUUCUAUAUUUCCAUUUUGAUCUUUGUUUGUUUUGGUUGAAGAUUUGUUCAGAAGCUGGCUGUUCAGUUAUUCAAUGCGGACAAUAAUCAAGCAGCAUUUCGUAUUUUGCAAGAUUUCCGGAAAGGGAAAUUUGGUUGGAUAGCACUAGAGCGGCCACCCAAGUAGAGCUGUGCGUUUCAUACCUUGUUCUAGUGCUUUCAUGUAUAUCAGUUAAAGCUGGUGGAAAAUUCUUGGAAGCUUCAACAUAGAAGUACCUAGACGGAGAAAACCAGGAAGAAGCUGUUGGCAUCUUCACCUGCAAGCUGGAAAGGUAUAUAUACACCAUUGAACCUACUCAAUGAAGCUAACCUACGGU